RNAcentral lists this ribosomal RNA (253 nucleotides) under uncultured bacterium. RNAcentral's name for it is "partial 16S ribosomal RNA". It matches the Rfam family "Bacterial small subunit ribosomal RNA", at positions 524 to 776 of the family's 1533-position model. The record is from RNAcentral.
UACGGUGGGUGCAAGCGUUAUCCGGAUUUACUGGGUUUAAAGGGAGCGUAGGCGGGUAUGUAAGUCCGUGGUGAAAUCUCCGAGCUUAACUCGGAAACUGCCAUGGGUACUGCGUAUCUUGAAUGUUGUGGAGGUGAGCGGAAUAUGUCAUGUAGCGGUGAAAUGCUUAGAUAUGACAUAGAACACCAAUUGCGAAGGCAGCUCACUACACAAAUAUUGACGCUGAGGCACGAAAGCGUGGGGAUCAAACAGG